CCUACGGGGGGCAGCAGUGGGGGAUAUUGCACAAUGGGGGAAACCCUGAUGCAGCGACGCCGCGUGUGGGAAGACGGUCCUCUGGAUUGUAAACCACUGUCCCCAGGGACGAAGAUGACGGUACCUUGGGAGGCAGCUCCGGCUAACUACGUGCCAGCAGCCGCGGUAAUACGUAGGGAGCGAGCGUUGUCCGGAAUUACUGGGUGUAAAGGGUGCGUAGUCGGGGAUGCAAGUUGGGUGUAAACCCUACCGGCUAAACUGGGAGUCGCACUCAAAACUUCAGCUCUUGAGUGAAGGAGAGGCAGGCGGAAUUCCUAGUGUAGCGGUGAAAUGCGUAGAUAUUAGGAGGAACACCAGUGGCGAAGGCGGCCUGCUGGGCUGUAACUGACGCUGAGGCUCGAAAGUGUGGGGAGCAAACAGGAUUAGAUACCCGGGUAGUC
Molecule: ribosomal RNA, 440 nt
Filed under: uncultured bacterium
Lineage: Bacteria
Description: partial 16S ribosomal RNA
Rfam family: Bacterial small subunit ribosomal RNA
Source: RNAcentral